UUUCGUUUGAAACCUGUUCCUUACAGUACGCUGUCAUCAGGAGGAAGCUGGAUCUGAUGGAUUUCUUUGUGGUUACGGGUGCCUCUCAGGUUACUCUCCAAGAGGACACAUCCACCUGACAUUCAGAGUGAGGAAAAGAGCAAGAGGCGACGGCUGUGUGAACAGAGAGCUCACCUGCAGGAUCAAAUGCUCUUCAAAGUUCCUCCUUCUUCUAAUGGAUGAAGUGCCCCAGUAACUACAGGUUGCAUAUUCAUAGAGUAUCCAGAGGAAGGACUUCUAUGGCUCCAGCUCCAUCUUUCUGUGAAAUAACGGAGGCUGAACUGAUGUGAAUACACAGGUUGCAAAGUGAGUUAAAGCCAAAAAAACGACUCAAU
RNAcentral lists this long non-coding RNA (374 nucleotides) under Chinchilla lanigera (long-tailed chinchilla). RNAcentral's name for it is "lncRNA (ENSCLAG00000024040.1)". Lineage: Eukaryota; Metazoa; Chordata; Mammalia; Rodentia; Chinchillidae. The record is from RNAcentral.